RNAcentral lists this non-coding RNA (80 nucleotides) under uncultured Enterocloster sp. RNAcentral's name for it is "Glycine riboswitch". It matches the Rfam family "Glycine riboswitch aptamer", at positions 9 to 86 of the family's 94-position model. From Rfam's summary of the family: This family represents the bacterial glycine riboswitch. Glycine riboswitches usually consist of two metabolite-binding aptamers domains with similar structures in tandem. The record is from RNAcentral. Lineage: Bacteria; Bacillati; Bacillota; Clostridia; Lachnospirales; Lachnospiraceae.
AAACUCUGGAGAAUCUCAUUUAUGAGUGCCGAAGGUGCAAGGCGUACAGCCGAAUCUCUCAGGCAAAAGGACAGAGCGGG